CUUGCAAAUCGGAAGUGCUAAUCAUGGGCACGGAAGACGGAGGCAGCGCUCGCACCGCAGUGGACCAGCAAUAGCGCCAACCGCGGAAAGGCGGGAAUCACCUAAGACAAAUCAGAACAUCAGCAACCUUUGAGGACGAGCAAACAAGCAGGACUUCAAGGGCUCCAACCCUUGUGGAAGGGUUGGAAGAACUUUGGAUUGCUAGAGCCCUAUCAGACUGCUGGUUGGUAACCUCUGAAUGUUAGAGCUAACUUUGAUUCCACUAGGAGUCUAGUUAUAGGCUGCUGAGCUGAAUUUGCUUUGGACCAAUGGUGCACCAGCACUGGGGCUCCCCUACUAUGAGCUGAAAUCACAAAAGAGCUGAAGAGCUGAGAUCGCUGAGUGUUGUGUUAACUAGUGGGGGAGCCUGAAGCUAUAUUGCUAAGCAGCUGGCUGAGCAGCAAGCGGCACAGAGCCUCGCAGGGACGGUUGGAGCGUACCAAGGAACAGCGAGUGGAGCUGUUUGCGGGGACGGCUGGAGCGGCUCACAGGUCGGUGAGCGGAGUGGAGCAGCUCAUAGAGCCGAGCAGUUCUAAGGUGCCUCUUAACACCCUGCGUGCCCCCCUUUUACUCUGGAGCUGCACUGACCAGGGACAGAGACUUUGGGGGUUGUUGGACUUUUGGGACUUUGGGUGGCUGCUGGACCCAAGAGACUUUGGG
Molecule: long non-coding RNA, 699 nt
Organism: Chrysemys picta bellii (western painted turtle)
Lineage: Eukaryota; Metazoa; Chordata; Testudines; Emydidae
Source: RefSeq, a predicted model, not a curated record